CUAUAAAAUGGUCUGAAAGCUCACCUGGGCCUUGAUUCCUGGUUUGAGACCCACCUGUGAGACAGCCACUGAGGCCUGCCUGUGUUUGCUGUUGAUUUGCCCACUGCAGGGAGAAACGAGAAUGUGUAGAGCCGUUGGAGUGAACCAGGGCGGUACAGAUGUGGGAUGGAAAACCAAACAGGGCUCGUGUGUCGAGGUACUCCGCAUGGGAAACACUUGAAUUCCACACCCACUUGUUGACCUGCCUGAACUCUCACUGUGCUGAUUCCUUGGUGUUACCUUGGCCGUGGGGAGAGGAUGACCACGAAGCUCACACGGAGGAGGAACAUAUGCAUGGGGAAACCUCUUGGCUCCGCGAAAAUAA
This is a long non-coding RNA of Seriola aureovittata, 364 nucleotides long. RefSeq lists it as uncharacterized. The transcript is spliced from 3 exons. Lineage: Eukaryota; Metazoa; Chordata; Actinopteri; Carangiformes; Carangidae. The record is from RefSeq and is a predicted model, not a curated record.